RNAcentral lists this ribosomal RNA (487 nucleotides) under uncultured bacterium. RNAcentral's name for it is "bacterial SSU rRNA". It matches the Rfam family "Bacterial small subunit ribosomal RNA", at positions 28 to 507 of the family's 1533-position model. The record is from RNAcentral.
GAUGAACGCUAGCGGCAGGCCUAACACAUGCAAGUCGAGGGGUAACAUAGAAAAGCUUGCUUUUCUGAUGACGACCGGCGCACGGGUGCGUAACGCGUAUACAACCUACCUUUUAGCGGGGAAUAGCCCAGGGAAACUUGGAUUAAUGCCCCAUAGUAUAUAGACUUCUCCUGAAGUUUAUAUUAAACAUUUAUGGCUAUUAGAUGGGUAUGCGUCCUAUUAGUUAGUUGGUAAGGUAACGGCUUACCAAGGCAGCGAUAGGUAGGGGUCCUGAGAGGGAGAUCCCCACACUGGUACUGAGACACGGACCAGACUCCUACGGGAGGCAGCAGUGAGGAAUAUUGGACAAUGGGCGAGAGCCUGAUCCAGCCAUGCCGCGUGCAGGAAGACUGCCCUAUGGGUUGUAAACUGCUUUUACAGAGGAAGAGCCACCCCCACGUGUGGGGGUUUGACGGUACUCUGCGAAUAAGGAUCGGCUAACUCCGUG